AGAUUGAACGCUGGCGGCAUGCCUAACACAUGCAAGUCGAACGGGAGUAGCAAUACUCUAGUGGCGGACGGGUGAGGAAUACGUAGGAAUUUGCCCUUAAGUGGGGGAUAACCCGGGGAAACCCGGAUUAAUACCGCAUGACCUCGAAAGAGCAAAGUGGGGGAUCGCAAGACCUCACGCUUUUGGAGAAGCCUACGUCGGAUUAGCUAGUUGGUGAGGUAAUGGCUCACCAAGGCGACGAUCCGUAACUGGUCUGAGAGGAUGAUCAGUCACACCGGAACUGAGACACGGUCCGGACUCCUACGGGAGCAGCAGUGGGGAAUAUUGGACAAGUGGGG
This 338-nucleotide ribosomal RNA is filed under the name uncultured soil bacterium. RNAcentral's name for it is "bacterial SSU rRNA". It matches the Rfam family "Bacterial small subunit ribosomal RNA", at positions 26 to 377 of the family's 1533-position model. The record is from RNAcentral.